UUACGGACACAGUAUGAACAUACAGAUUUAUUUACAGGGACACCCCGCAGCGAUGCCCAGUGUGUGGCCACCAUGGGCAGAGACAUCGCCCUGGGCCUCCUGGGCACAGGCACUGCCUCAGGGCCAGCACCCCAAAGGCCUUUCUCCAAGGGAUGCUGGGCGAAGGGGCAGCAGCAGCAGCAGCAGGGCUGCGGUAGGCAGGGCUGCAGGGGCCCCGUCACCCUUGUGUCAUAGUGCCAGCACCCGGCCAUGCAGCAUCACAAUGCUCCGGGGCAGUAUGUGUCCAGCGCCCUCCCCUGUCCCGCUACCAGAGUGCCCGGCGCUGCCACCGGGACAGAGCUGGCAGCCUGAGGGCAUCUGAGAGGCAGUCCCUGGGGCACCGGGGGAAUUCCUGGCAGGGGGGAGGGGGUUGAUGGGGGCAACCCUUGAAGCUGCACGAAGCUGCAGGAGGUUCUGUGCUGCGGUUCCAGCUCCUGGAGGGGCCACGCUCAAAGCUCAUCGCAUGGAUGGAUGGAUGGAAAUCCUGCUUCAGUCGUUGGGGAGCUUGCCGUCCUCAUCUCCUGGGCACCAGGGAAUUAGGUGAGGGGGGGACUAAGGGAGAGAACACUUGAAGCUGCAAAGCUGCAGGAGGUUCUGUGCUGCAGCUCCAGCUUCUGGAGGGGCCACGCUCAAAGCAUCAUCGAGGGAUCGUGCUUUAGUUGUCAGGGAGUUCGACGUCCUCACCUCCUGGGGAGAGAGUGGCAGCAGCCAGAAGAAAAAGGAUGCACAGGUGGCUCAGUGCCCUCCCCCAGUGCUCUGGAGCUCCCACUGCCAAGCACAGGAAGGAUUCGUGCUCCGAGGAUUCAUCAGGCCAAAGGCAUUUUGCUGUUGUUGGAAGCCCCUGAGAUGGCUUCAGGUGGAAGCAGAAAAAGCAGUGCCAGUGUCCCCUUGUCCCCUUAGAGGCGUAACCAGCUUGUGGAGCUGGAGCAGGUCUUGCUCACGUGCUCAGGGAGUAGCCGAUCGCCAGCACUGGGGUCAGGAAGGAAUUUUCCUCCGGGGCAGAUUGGCACCGGUCCCCGGGGGUUUUUUGCCUUCCUCUGAGCACUGAGCAUGACCCCUUGUCAGGGCUCCUCAGUCCACUCUGGCUGCGUUAUCGCCUGGUGCUCAUGCUCCACGAAGGCGGCCCCUCGUGUCCUGCAGCUGGGGGGGGGAAGGCUUUUUUGCCCCCAGGCUGGACUAGCAAGCGUCCCUGGGGUUUUUUGCCUUCCUCUGCAGCCGAGCACAGCCCCUUCAUGGGGCUCCUUUGGGUCAUGGUGUCCCAAAGGCAGCUGCUCGUGCUCCACGCAGGUGGCCCUCGUGCCCCGCAUCCGGGGGGAGGCAGCCUUCUGCACUCCCAGGGUGGCCCCAGCAUGGCCCCGGGACUCCCAGGGUGGGCCCAGCGUGGCCCCGGGACUUGCUGCUGUCCUCUGGAGGAUUGAGCACCACACCUCGACAGGUCUUCCCUGGCCCUUUCUGGCUGGGUUCUUCUUGCACUGCUCUCGCGCCGCCAUGGCACCGCUCCUGCCCUGCCUUUCCUUUCUCAGGAUGCAAGGGAGGCUUUUGCCACCUAAACUGAAGGCUCUAAACUAAACCCGACUAAAAUUAACUCAGCUAAACUAAAUCAAAUAACUUUAUCUAGAAAUAAAUAAAAUACUCUUUCUACCCAUAA
Long non-coding RNA from Pezoporus occidentalis (night parrot), 1687 nucleotides. RefSeq lists it as uncharacterized. The record is from RefSeq and is a predicted model, not a curated record. NCBI's taxonomy places the organism in Eukaryota, Metazoa, Chordata, Aves, Psittaciformes, Psittacidae. The transcript has 2 exons.